GCCCCCAUCGUCUAGCCUGGUCAGGACACAGGCCUUUCAAGCCUGAAACACGGGUUCAAAUCCCGUUGGGGGUACCA
This 77-nucleotide transfer RNA is filed under the name Chloroflexota bacterium. RNAcentral's name for it is "Chloroflexi bacterium (hot springs metagenome) tRNA-Glu". It matches the Rfam family "tRNA". From Rfam's summary of the family: Transfer RNA (tRNA) molecules are approximately 80 nucleotides in length. Their secondary structure includes four short double-helical elements and three loops (D, anti-codon, and T loops). Further hydrogen bonds mediate the characteristic L-shaped molecular structure. tRNAs have two regions of fundamental functional importance: the anti-codon, which is responsible for specific mRNA codon recognition, and the 3' end, to which the tRNAs corresponding amino acid is attached (by aminoacyl-tRNA synthetases). tRNAs cope with the degeneracy of the genetic code in two manners: having more than one tRNA (with a specific anti-codon) for a particular amino acid; and 'wobble' base-pairing, i.e. permitting non-standard base-pairing at the 3rd anti-codon position. The record is from RNAcentral. Lineage: Bacteria; Bacillati; Chloroflexota. RNAcentral also lists the same sequence under 1 other name.